This is a long non-coding RNA of Suricata suricatta (meerkat), 476 nucleotides long. RefSeq lists it as uncharacterized. The record is from RefSeq and is a predicted model, not a curated record. NCBI's taxonomy places the organism in Eukaryota, Metazoa, Chordata, Mammalia, Carnivora, Herpestidae. The transcript has 5 exons.
GCAGAUUGAAGUGCUCCCUACUGGAUUGCUGUCUGCUUUUUCUUCUGAGGAAUUAAUUUAGAUGCUGAAAGCAAAUUAGCAGGGAGCACGGCAUGAGGUAGACACCAGGCAUGCCUCGGAGCCCAACACAGGUGUCACCUUCACGUGGCCACCCUGGAUUUACCAGACAGUGCUGACCCACAGGAAUUAUCUACCGUUUGACCUGUGCCUUCGUUAGAGCAGCCGCAAUUUUCAAAUCACUCCAGAAUAUGUUCCCCUAAGAAGCUUGACAUUCACCACCGUGUCUUUCACAAGCAGAAGCCAAGGGCCACUACCCCAAUUCAGGUCUUCAUCAUUUCUGACUGAAGUGCGGCAGGAGAUGUUGACCAGUUCUCUGUGCCUUUGGUUUUGUCCCUCUCCAGCUGGCUCUCCAGACAGCCAUGAGGGAGACAAGAUUAGGCCACCUGAGCCAUAUUUCUUUUUGUUAAAACAUAUGU